AUCGCUUCUCGGCUUUUUGGCUAAGAUCAAGUGUAGUAUCUGUUUUUAUCAGAGAAUGCCAAUGUGAGGUGAGCUAUACCAGAUGUGGCCGCAGCACCCAUA
Molecule: small nuclear RNA, 102 nt
Organism: Ochotona princeps (American pika)
Lineage: Eukaryota; Metazoa; Chordata; Mammalia; Lagomorpha; Ochotonidae
Gene: U2
Rfam family: U2 spliceosomal RNA
About the family: U2 is a small nuclear RNA (snRNA) component of the spliceosome (involved in pre-mRNA splicing). Complementary binding between U2 snRNA (in an area lying towards the 5' end but 3' to hairpin I) and the branchpoint sequence (BPS) of the intron results the bulging out of an unpaired adenosine, on the BPS, which initiates a nucleophilic attack at the intronic 5' splice site, thus starting the first of two transesterification reactions that mediate splicing.
Source: Ensembl